UACGUAGGGUGCAAGCGUUAAUCGGAAUUACUGGGCGUAAAGGGCGCGUAGGCGGCCUUCUAAGUCGGACGUGAAAUCCCUCGGCUCAACCGAGGAACUGCGUCCGAUACUGAAAGGCUUGAAUCCGGGAGAGGGAUGUGGAAUUCCAGGUGUAGCGGUGAAAUGCGUAGAUAUCUGGAGGAACACCGGUGGCGAAGGCGGCAUCCUGGACCGGCAUUGACGCUGAGGCGCGAAAGCUAGGGGAGCAAACGGG
Molecule: ribosomal RNA, 253 nt
Filed under: uncultured bacterium
Lineage: Bacteria
Description: partial 16S ribosomal RNA
Rfam family: Bacterial small subunit ribosomal RNA
Source: RNAcentral